This 544-nucleotide ribosomal RNA is filed under the name uncultured bacterium. RNAcentral describes it as "bacterial SSU rRNA". It matches the Rfam family "Bacterial small subunit ribosomal RNA", at positions 358 to 916 of the family's 1533-position model. The record is from RNAcentral.
GGAAUCUUGCGCAAUGGGCGAAAGCCUGACGCAGCAACGCCGCGUGCGGGAUGAAGGCCUUCGGGUUGUAAACCGCUUUCAGCAGGGAAGAAAUUGACGGUACCUGCAGAAGAAGCCCCGGCCAACUACGUGCCAGCAGCCGCGGUAACACGUAGGGGGCGAGCGUUGUCCGGAUUUAUUGGGCGUAAAGAGCUCGUAGGCGGUUCGGUAAGUCGGGUGUGAAACCUCCAGGCUCAACCUGGAGACGCCACCUGAUACUGCUGUGACUAGAGUCCGGUAGGGGAGUGUGGAACUCCUGGUGUAGCGGUGAAAUGCGCAGAUAUCAGGAAGAACACCAGCGGCGAAGGCGGCACUCUGGGCCGGUACUGACGCUGAGGAGCGAAAGCGUGGGUAGCAAACAGGAUUAGAUACCCUGGUAGUCCACGCCGUAAACGUUGGGCACUAGGUGUGGGUCUCAACCAACGAGAUCCGUGCCGCAGCUAACGCAUUAAGUGCCCCGCCUGGGGAGUACGGCCGCAAGGCUAAAACUCAAAGGAAUUGACGG